UUUUGGACUGAAGUGCAGGUUGCUCACAGC
Molecule: non-coding RNA, 30 nt
Filed under: Homo sapiens (human)
Lineage: Eukaryota; Metazoa; Chordata; Mammalia; Primates; Hominidae
Source: RNAcentral